CCUACGUGCGGCAGCAGUGAUGAAUAUUGGUCAAUGGUCGGGAGACUGAACCAGCCAAGCCGCGUGAGGGAUGAAGGUACAGAGUAUCGUAAACCUCUUUUGUCAGGGAACAAAGGCGGGGACGCGUCCCCGGAUGAGUGUACCUGAAGAAAAAGCAUCGGCUAACUCCGUGCCAGCAGCCGCGGUAAUACGGAGGAUGCGAGCGGUAUCCGGAGUUAUUGGGUUUAAAGGGUGCGCAGGCGGUCUGUUAAGUCAGCGGUCAAAGCCCGGGGCUCAACCCCGGCCCGCCGUUGAAACUGGCAGUCUCGAGUUGGAGAGAAGUAUGCGGAAUGCGCGGUGUAGCGGUGAAAUGCUUAGAUAUGACGAAGAACCCCGAUUGCGAAGGCAGCUUGCUGCAGCGGAACUGACGCUGAUGCUCGAAAGCGCGGGCAUCGAACAGGAUUAGAUACCCGGGUAGUC
Molecule: ribosomal RNA, 459 nt
Filed under: uncultured bacterium
Lineage: Bacteria
Description: partial 16S ribosomal RNA
Rfam family: Bacterial small subunit ribosomal RNA
Source: RNAcentral